This 1332-nucleotide ribosomal RNA is filed under the name Escherichia coli. Its description in RNAcentral is "partial 23S ribosomal RNA". It matches the Rfam family "Bacterial large subunit ribosomal RNA", at positions 412 to 1746 of the family's 2925-position model. The record is from RNAcentral. Lineage: Bacteria; Pseudomonadati; Pseudomonadota; Gammaproteobacteria; Enterobacterales; Enterobacteriaceae.
GUAGGGCGGGACACGUGGUAUCCUGUCUGAAUAUGGGGGGACCAUCCUCCAAGGCUAAAUACUCCUGACUGACCGAUAGUGAACCAGUACCGUGAGGGAAAGGCGAAAAGAACCCCGGCGAGGGGAGUGAAAAAGAACCUGAAACCGUGUACGUACAAGCAGUGGGAGCACGCUUAGGCGUGUGACUGCGUACCUUUUGUAUAAUGGGUCAGCGACUUAUAUUCUGUAGCAAGGUUAACCGAAUAGGGGAGCCGAAGGGAAACCGAGUCUUAACUGGGCGUUAAGUUGCAGGGUAUAGACCCGAAACCCGGUGAUCUAGCCAUGGGCAGGUUGAAGGUUGGGUAACACUAACUGGAGGACCGAACCGACUAAUGUUGAAAAAUUAGCGGAUGACUUGUGGCUGGGGGUGAAAGGCCAAUCAAACCGGGAGAUAGCUGGUUCUCCCCGAAAGCUAUUUAGGUAGCGCCUCGUGAAUUCAUCUCCGGGGGUAGAGCACUGUUUCGGCAAGGGGGUCAUCCCGACUUACCAACCCGAUGCAAACUGCGAAUACCGGAGAAUGUUAUCACGGGAGACACACGGCGGGUGCUAACGUCCGUCGUGAAGAGGGAAACAACCCAGACCGCCAGCUAAGGUCCCAAAGUCAUGGUUAAGUGGGAAACGAUGUGGGAAGGCCCAGACAGCCAGGAUGUUGGCUUAGAAGCAGCCAUCAUUUAAAGAAAGCGUAAUAGCUCACUGGUCGAGUCGGCCUGCGCGGAAGAUGUAACGGGGCUAAACCAUGCACCGAAGCUGCGGCAGCGACGCUGAUGCGUUGUUGGGUAGGGGAGCGUUCUGUAAGCCUGUGAAGGUGUGCUGUGAGGCAUGCUGGAGGUAUCAGAAGUGCGAAUGCUGACAUAAGUAACGAUAAAGCGGGUGAAAAGCCCGCUCGCCGGAAGACCAAGGGUUCCUGUCCAACGUUAAUCGGGGCAGGGUGAGUCGACCCCUAAGGCGAGGCCGAAAGGCGUAGUCGAUGGGAAACAGGUUAAUAUUCCUGUACUUGGUGUUACUGCGAAGGGGGGACGGAGAAGGCUAUGUUGGCCGGGCGACGGUUGUCCCGGUUUAAGCGUGUAGGCUGGUUUUCCAGGCAAAUCCGGAAAAUCAAGGCUGAGGCGUGAUGACGAGGCACUACGGUGCUGAAGCAACAAAUGCCCUGCUUCCAGGAAAAGCCUCUAAGCAUCAGGUAACAUCAAAUCGUACCCCAAACCGACACAGGUGGUCAGGUAGAGAAUACCAAGGCGCUUGAGAGAACUCGGGUGAAGGAACUAGGCAAAAUGGUGCCGUAACUUCGGGAGAAGG